UGGGGAAUAUUGCACAAUGGGCGAAAGCCUGAUGCAGCGACGCCGCGUGGGGGAUGAAGGCCUUCGGGUUGUAAACCCCUUUCAGUAAGGAACAAGGCCAUGCUUUUGUGUGGUUGAGGGUACUUGCAGAAGAAGCGCCGGCUAACUACGUGCCAGCAGCCGCGGUAAUACGUAGGGCGCAAGCGUUGUCCGGAAUUAUUGGGCGUAAAGAGCUCGUAGGCGGCUUGUCGCGUCUGCCGUGAAAGUCUAA
Molecule: ribosomal RNA, 250 nt
Filed under: uncultured bacterium
Lineage: Bacteria
Description: partial 16S ribosomal RNA
Rfam family: Bacterial small subunit ribosomal RNA
Source: RNAcentral